CAUAUUUCCUUCAUGGAGAUGGACCUGACGGUUGGGGUCAUCACCCUACCUGCAAACCUUUCAUUACGCCGAUCGCGUAGAACAUUUCUCUCACCAUGCGGUACCUGUGUACAUUUUUUUUGCUUGCCAAUUUUCUGUUGACGCUUCUUUGCCACCAUACCACCCUUGCAAGCUUGCUCUCUCCUCCCAGGCGCUGCUCUGGACUCAUGACUCUGCUCGUCCACUCCAUUAUCCGCUAUUGUUAUCGAAUCACUGGUUUGCUGGUCGGAAUUUUGUAGGUGCACAUUGAUUUCGAUGAGGUCGCCAUCUACAACACCAUUACCGAAGGUUCUGCUUAGGCAGAUGAAGGCCGUCGAAGAUCACAAGCGCAGCUUGCUAUUGUACAAGUUUGGAAUUUAGAAAGGAUGUCCAUCAGGGUUGUUUGGAGGAACAUAAUGAAACUUCACAAGUUCUGGGGGGACUGAUUCUUUCAGAGAAUUGUUUCAUUACUAAUGCGCUGUCGCGGGCAUGUAUUAAUCCCAAAUUCCAAAUCACUUUGGAAUCCAAUCAAAAUCCAGUGAAAAUCACACUGGAAUCCUUCUCCGUAAUUGAUUCGCAAACUAUUCUCAAGGACUGCUCUGAACCUCAAAUAUCGUGGGCACAUGAAGUUGUGGUGUAAUUUUUACAGAAACAAGUGAUUCAGGCAGCAAGGUCGGACAAGCUCGUUGGCCACAUUGGGUAGCUGCCGCCCUCUGCUGAGAUUGUUCACACCAUGGAUGAGAUCUCCAACACUGUUUGCUCGGUCAUUGAUUCGGCGGAGCUGUG
This is a long non-coding RNA of Triticum dicoccoides, 804 nucleotides long. RefSeq lists it as uncharacterized. The transcript is spliced from 5 exons. The record is from RefSeq and is a predicted model, not a curated record. Lineage: Eukaryota; Viridiplantae; Streptophyta; Magnoliopsida; Poales; Poaceae.